Molecule: unclassified non-coding RNA, 282 nt
Filed under: Hevea brasiliensis (rubber tree)
Lineage: Eukaryota; Viridiplantae; Streptophyta; Magnoliopsida; Malpighiales; Euphorbiaceae
Source: RNAcentral
AAAAAGAAAGAAUGACCAAAACAGAAAGAAAAGAGCUCAUACAAAAACUUACAAGGCAUACCUAAGCUAAAUCUUCUAGUUAAACACAUCAAGCUCGAGAGAAGAUUCAUGGAAAAGAUUUGAUUGAAACAUGCUCAUAAAACUCCCUUCCAUAGGCUGCAAAAAUCCAUCAAAAGGCUGGAAAAUAGAAUCAGAACCUGCAGGAGACGAUGAUGACUCAUUGUAAGAGUUCAUCAAAGGUACUAAAGAUCCGGCAGACCCAUCAACAGUUCUUCGUUCAAG